RNAcentral lists this transfer RNA (87 nucleotides) under Nitrospinaceae bacterium. RNAcentral describes it as "tRNA-Leu". It matches the Rfam family "tRNA". Rfam says of the family: Transfer RNA (tRNA) molecules are approximately 80 nucleotides in length. Lineage: Bacteria; Pseudomonadati; Nitrospinota; Nitrospinia; Nitrospinales; Nitrospinaceae. The record is from RNAcentral.
GCCGGAGUGGCGGAAUUGGUAGACGCAGUGGACUCAAAAUCCACCGCUCGUCAGGGCUUGGGGGUUCGAGUCCCCCCUCCGGCACCA